GAUGAACGCUGGCGGCGUGCCUAAUACAUGCAAGUCGAGCGAACAGACGAGGAGCUUGCUCCUCUGACGUUAGCGGCGGACGGGUGAGUAACACGUGGAUAACCUACCUAUAAGACUGGGAUAACUUCGGGAAACCGGAGCUAAUACCGGAUAAUAUAUUGAACCGCAUGGUUCAAUAGUGAAAGACGGUUUUGCUGUCACUUAUAGAUGGAUCCGCGCCGCAUUAGCUAGUUGGUAAGGUAACGGCUUACCAAGGCAACGAUGCGUAGCCGACCUGAGAGGGUGAUCGGCACACUGGAACUGAGACACGGUCCAGACUCCUACGGGAGGCAGCAGUGGGGAAUCUUCCGCAAUGGGCGAAAGCCUGACGGAGCAACGCCGCGUGAGUGAUGAAGGUCUUCGGAUCGUAAAACUCUGUUAUUAGGGAAGAACAAAUGUGUAAGUAACUAUGCACGUCUUGACGGUACCUAAUCAGAAAGCCACGGCUAACUACGUG
Molecule: ribosomal RNA, 496 nt
Filed under: uncultured bacterium
Lineage: Bacteria
Description: partial 16S ribosomal RNA
Rfam family: Bacterial small subunit ribosomal RNA
Source: RNAcentral